CCUACGGGUGGCAGCAGUGGGGAAUAUUGGACAAUGGGGGCAACCCUGAUCCAGCCAUGCCGCGUGUGUGAAGAAGGCCCUCGGGUUGUAAAGCACUUUCAGUGAGGAAGAACGCCUGGUGGUUAAUACCCAUCAGGAAAGACAUCACUCACAGAAGAAGCACCGGCUAACUCCGUGCCAGCAGCCGCGGUAAUACGGAGGGUGCGAGCGUUAAUCGGAAUUACUGGGCGUAAAGCGCGCGUAGGUGGUUUGAUAAGCCGGUUGUGAAAGCCCCGGGCUCAACCUGGGAACGGCAUCCGGAACUGUCAAGCUAGAGUGCAGGAGAGGAAGGUAGAAUUCCCGGUGUAGCGGUGAAAUGCGUAGAGAUCGGGAGGAAUACCAGUGGCGAAGGCGGCCUUCUGGACUGACACUGACACUGAGGUGCGAAAGCGUGGGUAGCAAACAGGAUUAGAUACCCUAGUAGUC
Molecule: ribosomal RNA, 465 nt
Filed under: Vreelandella stevensii
Lineage: Bacteria; Pseudomonadati; Pseudomonadota; Gammaproteobacteria; Oceanospirillales; Halomonadaceae
Description: partial 16S ribosomal RNA
Rfam family: Bacterial small subunit ribosomal RNA
Source: RNAcentral